UACAGAGGGGGCAAGCGUUGUUCGGAAUUACUGGGCGUAAAGGGCGCGUAGGCGGCCUGCUAAGUCGAACGUGAAAUCCCUGGGCUCAACCCAGGAACUGCGUCCGAUACUGGUUGGCUUGAAUCCGGGAGAGGGAUGUGGAAUUCCAGGUGUAGCGGUGAAAUGCGUAGAUAUCUGGAGGAACACCGGUGGCGAAGGCGGCUUUCUGGACGGUAACUGACGCUGAGACGCGAAAGCGUGGGGAGCAAACAGG
Molecule: ribosomal RNA, 253 nt
Filed under: uncultured bacterium
Lineage: Bacteria
Description: partial 16S ribosomal RNA
Rfam family: Bacterial small subunit ribosomal RNA
Source: RNAcentral